ACCAACACCAGGAAAUUCUGCUGGCCUCUCAGCUGGGGUCAUUGACAGCAUCGUGGUCGGAGUCCUGGCCGGGGUAGCUCUGAUAGCUCCGGUGUACUUUCUGCAUAUCUGAAACAUUGGACGAUGGAUGAAGCUGCAUAUUCUUCCCUGAACUUCAAUGUCCAGGAAUCAAAGAAACCAACUUCAGCCUCCCCACCCCAUCAGCCACAGAAACAGUUUAUUCAGAAAUAAAAAAGAAGUAAUGCAACC
Non-coding RNA from Equus caballus (horse), 249 nucleotides. NCBI's taxonomy places the organism in Eukaryota, Metazoa, Chordata, Mammalia, Perissodactyla, Equidae. The record is from RefSeq and is a predicted model, not a curated record.